UGAGGAAUAUUGGACAAUGGGCGCAAGCCUGAUCCAGCCAUGCCGCGUGCAGGAUGACGGUCCUAUGGAUUGUAAACUGCUUUUAUACGGGAAGAAACCCUGGCUCGUGAGCCAGACUGACGGUACCGUAGGAAUAAGGAUCGGCUAACUCCGUGCCAGCAGCCGCGGUAAUACGGAGGAUCCAAGCGUUAUCCGGAAUCAUUGGGUUUAAAGGGUCCGUAGGCGGCCCCGUAAGUCAGUGGUGAAAUCUCCCGGCUCAACCGGGAAAUUGCCAUUGAUACUGCAGGGCUUGAAUUAUUGGGAAGUAACUAGAAUAUGUAGUGUAGCGGUGAAAUGCUUAGAUAUUACAUGGAAUACCGAUUGCGAAGGCAGGUUACUAUCAAUACAUUGACGCUGAUGGACGAAAGCGUGGGUAGCGAACA
This 422-nucleotide ribosomal RNA is filed under the name uncultured Flavobacterium sp. RNAcentral's name for it is "bacterial SSU rRNA". It matches the Rfam family "Bacterial small subunit ribosomal RNA", at positions 355 to 774 of the family's 1533-position model. Lineage: Bacteria; Pseudomonadati; Bacteroidota; Flavobacteriia; Flavobacteriales; Flavobacteriaceae. The record is from RNAcentral.